AGUGAACGCUGGCGGUAGGCCUAACACAUGCAAGUCGAACGGCAGCACAGUAAGAGCUUGCUCUUACGGGUGGCGAGUGGCGGACGGGUGAGGAAUACAUCGGAAUCUACUUUUUCGUGGGGGGUAACGUAGGGAAACUUACGCUAAUACCGCAUACGACCUACGGGUGAAAGCAGGGGAUCAUCGGACCUUGCGCGAUUGAAUGAGCCGAUGUCGGAUUAGCUAGUUGGCGGGGUAAAGGCCCACCAAGGCGACGAUCCGUAGCUGGUCUGAGAGGAUGAUCAGCCACACUGGAACUGAGACACGGUCCAGACUCCUACGGGAGGCAGCAGUGGGGAAUAUUGGACAAUGGGCGCAAGCCUGAUCCAGCCAUACCGCGUGGGUGAAGAAGGCCUUCGGGUUGUAAAGCCCUUUUGUUGGGAAAGAAAAGCAGCAGGUUAAUACCCCGCUGUUCUGACGGUACCCAAAGAAUAAGCACCGGCUAACUUCGUG
Molecule: ribosomal RNA, 492 nt
Filed under: uncultured bacterium
Lineage: Bacteria
Description: partial 16S ribosomal RNA
Rfam family: Bacterial small subunit ribosomal RNA
Source: RNAcentral